RNAcentral lists this transfer RNA (76 nucleotides) under Bacillus subtilis. Its description in RNAcentral is "tRNA-Asn". It matches the Rfam family "tRNA". Rfam says of the family: Transfer RNA (tRNA) molecules are approximately 80 nucleotides in length. The record is from RNAcentral. Lineage: Bacteria; Bacillati; Bacillota; Bacilli; Caryophanales; Bacillaceae. RNAcentral also lists the same sequence under 1 other name.
UUGCCCUUAGCUCAGUGGUUAGAGCGCCUGUCUGUUAAACAGGAUGUCACCAGUUCAAAUCUGGUAGGGUAAGCCA